Molecule: ribosomal RNA, 424 nt
Filed under: uncultured cyanobacterium
Lineage: Bacteria; Bacillati; Cyanobacteriota
Description: bacterial SSU rRNA
Rfam family: Bacterial small subunit ribosomal RNA
Source: RNAcentral
GGGGAAUUUUCCGCAAUGGGCGAAAGCCUGACGGAGCAAUACCGCGUGAGGGAUGAAGGCCUCUGGGCUGUAAACCUCUUUUCUCAAGGAAGAAGAUCUGACGGUACUUGAGGAAUAAGCCACGGCUAAUUCCGUGCCAGCAGCCGCGGUAAUACGGGAGUGGCAAGCGUUAUCCGGAAUUAUUGGGCGUAAAGCGUCCGCAGGCGGCCUUGAAAGUCUGUUGUUAAAGCGUGGAGCUUAACUCCAUUUCAGCAAUGGAAACUACAAGGCUAGAGUGUGGUAGGAGCAGAGGGGAUUCCCGGUGUAGCGGUGAAAUGCGUAGAUAUCGGGAAGAACACCAGUGGCGAAGGCGCUCUGCUGGGCCAUAACUGACGCUCAUGGACGAAAGCCAGGGGAGCGAAAGGGAUUAGAUACCCCUGUAGUC